CCUACAAGGAGCAGAACAGGGCAGUGCUGGCCUUUCUUUGCUCAUUGCUUCAUGAGCUUUGGCAGUUGAAGACUGGGGAAGGACCUCCUCUUUGCACAGUGUGCAUUUAGAACUGUCUCCAGUUCACAGAAGGACAGUUCAUGAUGUUAUAUGACCUUUAUGGGUUGAAUCUGGCCACUGUGUGGGAUCCACUGAUUUGAAGUCAAUAUAAAGGCUCUUUGUUUGCUCUUUGGCACUGCCUUUACAGCUGAUAUCCAACUGGCAACCUGGAUGAAGUCAGGCUUCUGUGGAAUUAGGGGCCAGUUAAAGCUGAAAACCAGGAUAUGCACUUCAGUACUGAUGUACAUUAGAGCUCCAGAGAAUUCCCUGGUAGACUGCUCUCAGAAAGAAUGGCUGUCAGAAGCCAAAUAAAAACAUAUGUCCAAUGCGUUGAUGUUUCUUACAGAUCUAGUAACUCAUGAGUGAACAUGCUGCUAGGGAGCCUGCUGAAAGGGAAACUCAGGCCAACCAUUUCCCCUGGAACAACCUGCUUAUGCUGCUCUUAAAUGGUGUGUAGCAAGAACACCUCAAGAAGUAUUAAAAAUCACCAUUAAUUGCCAGAGCUGUACAGUUUGUUUAAUCGCUGCAUUUUAUGUGCUUAUCAAUAUAGCACACCACCUAAACUCACCCUGGUGGAAUGUUCGGUUAUACUUAGUGCACAGAGGAUGUGGACAGAAAAGUGGAUGGAAAAGUCCAGCAGAACUGGAUGGGUGUUUUAGUGAAACUGAAGAAUGAAAAAAUUGCAAUUGGCACCUGUAAUUUUGGUUGUUUUUCUUAUGUUGCUAAAGAGACAAAAACGAAGUCAUGGUGCAGAGUGGGAAAAGCUGUGUUUGGACCUAAUCUUGUCAAAUGGGAGCAGGAGAGGAAGGAUCCUUUUAAUGAAGACCUCCUGGCUGGGUAUUUCAGGCUACAGUCUUGCUCUUCUCCUUAUAGAGGGAUACCUCCUGCUAGUGCUUAAAAAUGUUGCAGUGUGGAUGGAUAGGUGCACUUUGAGAUGGAUGCAUAAGAAAAACAAGAAACUUAUUAACACAAAACCAUUUUAGGGCCUGAUUAAUCCAGAAAGAUUGAAGUAAGGGGAGGAUGGUGAAGGGAUUAAUCAAUUUCAGUGAAUAAAAAUGCAAGACAAUAUUGCUGAAGUUGAUAAAGAUGGGUCUAUAUUUAAAGAGAUCAGGAUUCGCAACACGUUUCGUGACUUAUUAUGCAGAGAAAAUUAUUACUACCCAUUAAAGAAUUAGCUUUCACAUAAAAUGAAGAAGUUGAUUAGUGCACCUCAGAGUGGCUAGCUUCUAAAAUUAUAAAAUUAAUGAAUGUAUGAAAUAUUUAAUUUCACACAUAAAUAUCUGUGAAUAGAAAUUAAUUACUGCAUGCGAUAAAGACAUUUAUUGCACAUAUAGGAUCAAAUAUUAAACAUGUGCUGAAUUAAAAAUGUGAGCAUUUUGAUAGCAUGUGUGUAAUUGAUUUGGAUUUCUGUUGAAGUUUUUUAUAACUGUAUAAAGAACCAUAGAUCAACUCUGUAGUGCAAUGAAAAGAUGAUGAACUCUAUGUUUAUUUUCAAUAUUGAUGGCAAGUUAAUAAAGGAAAUCUUUGAUUC
Long non-coding RNA from Gallus gallus (chicken), 1630 nucleotides. Lineage: Eukaryota; Metazoa; Chordata; Aves; Galliformes; Phasianidae. The record is from Ensembl.